GCGGGUGUCGUAUAACGGUUAUUACCCCAGCUUCCCAAGCUGGAGACGAGGGUUCGACUCCCUUCACCCGCUCCA
RNAcentral lists this transfer RNA (75 nucleotides) under Gammaproteobacteria bacterium. RNAcentral's name for it is "tRNA-Gly". It matches the Rfam family "tRNA". Rfam says of the family: Transfer RNA (tRNA) molecules are approximately 80 nucleotides in length. Lineage: Bacteria; Pseudomonadati; Pseudomonadota; Gammaproteobacteria. The record is from RNAcentral. RNAcentral also lists the same sequence under 1 other name.